AAUCAACAUCAGCUCUGAACACUGGUCUUCAUGGUUAUAAAAGGAGGAAAAGUGGUACCGAAGCUGGUUCAGUAUGGUACAUACCAUGUGGGCUAGUUUCAAACAGAA
This 108-nucleotide small nucleolar RNA is filed under the name Castor canadensis (American beaver). RNAcentral describes it as "Small nucleolar RNA SNORA61 (ENSCCNG00000014007.1)". Lineage: Eukaryota; Metazoa; Chordata; Mammalia; Rodentia; Castoridae. The record is from RNAcentral.